ACUCAAAUGAAUUGACGGGAGCUCGCACAAGCGGUGGAACAUGUGGUUCAAUUCGACACAAAGCGAGGAACCUUACCAGGGCUUGAAAUCCACUUGAAGGUGUCCCGAAAGGGGUGCCGUCUUCACGACAGGUGGACAGGCGCUGCAUGGUUGUCGUCAGCUCGUGCCUUGAGGUGUUCCGUUAAGUCGGGAAACGAGCGCAACCCCCAUUGCCUGUUAUAAGUGUCAGGCGAAACUGCCCUCUUCAAGAGGGAGGAAGGUGGGGAUGACGUCAAAUCAGCAUGGCCCUCUGAUGCCCUGGGCUACACACGUGUUACAAUGGCCGGUACAAAGGGUCGCCAACCCGUAAGGGGGAGCCAAUCCCAUCAAAACCGGUCUCAGUCCGGAUUGAGGUCUGCAACCCGACCUCAUGAAGCCGGAAUCGCUAGUAAACGCAAAUCAGCCUCGUUGCGUUGAAUACGUUCUCGAGCUUUGUACACACCGCCCGU
This 488-nucleotide ribosomal RNA is filed under the name uncultured bacterium. RNAcentral's name for it is "partial 16S ribosomal RNA". It matches the Rfam family "Bacterial small subunit ribosomal RNA", at positions 899 to 1397 of the family's 1533-position model. The record is from RNAcentral.